Molecule: long non-coding RNA, 1160 nt
Filed under: Gallus gallus (chicken)
Lineage: Eukaryota; Metazoa; Chordata; Aves; Galliformes; Phasianidae
Description: lncRNA (ENSGALG00010001100.1)
Source: RNAcentral
AUCUGGAGAUCACCCCCUCUGGGAGCUUUUCUGUGAGCCCAGGAUAUGGUGGAAGAGCUCAAGACACCUUUAUACACCUGAACCUGAAAUUAUUGUGAAACAUGACACCUAGAAGAAAAAAAAAAAUCAGAAACCAAUAUCUCCCUGCAGCUUAGAAAAGUUCACAUAUGCCUCACAGGAGCAUCAUUUAAGGACCAGAAGAGCAAAAUUUCAUUCUGAGAAAUGAUUGCCAUUAACAAUACUAGGGAUGAUUGAUCCAGAAAAUGCAAAGGUGGAAAGCUCUUCACUAUUUGAGGCUCAGCUAUCUAUAGAAUUCUGUAUGUUCUCUUGAUAACUACUAACAUACUCUCAAGAUCAUGAUGAUUGAAGUCAGUGAUCUUGGUCACAGAAGUAAAGAAGUAAAGAAAAGGACUUUUGUCCCUGAGAUUAUAAAAUGCAUAAGAGAGUAAAACAAUUUUUAAUUGCUGAUAUCCAAGGUUUAAUAUAGUAUGAUUAGAUUCUCUAGUAUCACUGUCACAAUUCAUAUAUUAAAUUUCAAAUAUAGUAGUUAUGUAAGAAACACUAGUAACAUAACCUGCAGGAGGCUCUAUUUUUUGAUAGCUUAUUCUAUUACCAAAAAUCAGUUCUGAGAUCCUAUGUUAAACUUUUAGCUGACCCCAGGGAAGUUGCACCUUCAUACUGAAAGUUUUGUAUAACCACAAGAUUUGCUUCUGAAACUGUCCUUCAAACAGCUCUGUGCAUGCUGCUGAUAAUGCACAGUUAAUGGUGGUGACAAUGCUGACAAACAGUGUUUUGUCACUGAGAAUUUCCUCUGUCAAAUAGUGCUAUUGUGCUCUUCAUAUCUGUUGUAGUUUCCAUAAAAAAAAAGAGGCAUUACUUUUGGAUCAACCUGCAUAUUAUCCUAAUUUGAAUAUCACAAUUUCAUUUUGAUUAUCCUAAAGUCUUUCAUUUGAAUAAAGUUCAUUAUAACACUUACACAAUGAUAAAUACAAGUUCUAAAAUGUGUACGUACAUGUAUAAAAGAAAUAUUAUCUAAAAACAAAGUGAUACUUUUAAUCCAUUGUUAUAGUAAAUUUCUAUCAUAAAUAUGUAUAUUUUUACUAUAUAGAAUGAAAAAAAAACCAAAAUUUUGGAAUUUUUAAUGCAGCUAGAGUUGUUUC